AGUCGAGCGGCAGCGCGGGGGCAACCCUGGCGGCGAGCGGCGAACGGGUGAGUAACAUAUCGGAACGUACCCCGUCGUGGGGGAUAACACAGCGAAAGCUGUGCUAAUACCGCAUACGACCUGAGGGUGAAAGCGGGGGACCGCAAGGCCUCGCGCGAUGGGAGCGGCCGAUAUCGGAUUAGCUUGUUGGUGAGGUAAAGGCUCACCAAGGCGACGAUCCGUAGCUGGUCUGAGAGGACGACCAGCCACACUGGAACUGAGACACGGUCCAGACUCCUACGGGAGGCAGCAGUGGGGAAUUUUGGACAAUGGGGGCAACCCUGAUCCAGCAAUGCCGCGUGAGUGAAGAAGGCCUUCGGGUUGUAAAGCUCUUUUGUCAGGGAAGAAACGGUGAGCGCUAAUACCGCUUGCUAAUGACGGUACCUGAAGAAUAAGCACCGGCUAACUACGUGCCAGCAGCCGCGGUAAUACGUAGGGUGCGAGCGUUAAUCGGAAUUACUGGGCGUAAAGCGUGCGCAGGCGGUUAUGCAAGACAGAUGUGAAAUACCCGGGCUUAACCUGGGAAUGGCAUUUGUGACUGCAUGGCUAGAGUGUGUCAGAGGGGGGUAGAAUUCCACGUGUAGCAGUGAAAUGCGUAGAGAUGUGGAGGAAUACCGAUGGCGAAGGCAGCCCCCUGG
This 677-nucleotide ribosomal RNA is filed under the name uncultured Sulfuritalea sp. Its description in RNAcentral is "bacterial SSU rRNA". It matches the Rfam family "Bacterial small subunit ribosomal RNA", at positions 60 to 732 of the family's 1533-position model. Lineage: Bacteria; Pseudomonadati; Pseudomonadota; Betaproteobacteria; Nitrosomonadales; Sterolibacteriaceae. The record is from RNAcentral.